Long non-coding RNA from Micropterus dolomieu (smallmouth bass), 417 nucleotides. RefSeq lists it as uncharacterized. The record is from RefSeq and is a predicted model, not a curated record. NCBI's taxonomy places the organism in Eukaryota, Metazoa, Chordata, Actinopteri, Centrarchiformes, Centrarchidae. The transcript is spliced from 2 exons.
UGUUUGCCAGGCUUGACCAGGAUCAGAACUUGCCAGGCAACCAGCCAAAACUCCAGGAAAGAACUGCAAAAAUAAGAUGAUGGGGUUCCUUUAUUUGGCAGCUACCUGCAAAACAAUUACCAACGCCAGUCAGCAGGACAGGAAGUACACUUCAUCUGAUGCCAGAUCCAACCGCGUUCGAUAAACCCCCCCCCACAGCUGACGUGAGGGAAUUUGGCAGCAUUUGGGGAAAAAACAAAACAAAACCAUGACACAACAAACCAAACCAUCUGUCCCACUGUCUGUCCAGCAGAGGAGCAGUAAAAAUAGAAACUACAACUGCCAUAAAGCAGCAAGGCAACUGGGAAGCAGAGAGUUUGUUCAUGUGGUUUUCUUUUAGGUGGUCAUAAUGAAUCAAUUAAACAAUGCUUUUGAUUA